CCUAGGGGUGGCUGCAGUGGGGAAUAUUGGACAAUGGGCGAAAGCCUGAUCCAGCCAUGCCGCGUGUGUGAAGAAGGCCUUCGGGUUGUAAAGCACUUUCAGUGGGGAAGAAAGCCUUGGGGCUAAUACCCUCGAGGAAGGACAUCACCCACAGAAGAAGCACCGGCUAACUCCGUGCCAGCAGCCGCGGUAAUACGGAGGGUGCGAGCGUUAAUCGGAAUUACUGGGCGUAAAGCGCGCGUAGGCGGUCUGAUAAGCCGGUUGUGAAAGCCCCGGGCUCAACCUGGGAACGGCAUCCGGAACUGUCAGGCUAGAGUGCAGGAGAGGAAGGUAGAAUUCCCGGUGUAGCGGUGAAAUGCGUAGAGAUCGGGAGGAAUACCAGUGGCGAAGGCGGCCUUCUGGACUGACACUGACGCUGAGGUGCGAAAGCGUGGGUAGCAAACAGGAUUAGAUACCCUUGUAGUC
This 465-nucleotide ribosomal RNA is filed under the name Vreelandella stevensii. Its description in RNAcentral is "partial 16S ribosomal RNA". It matches the Rfam family "Bacterial small subunit ribosomal RNA", at positions 338 to 795 of the family's 1533-position model. The record is from RNAcentral. Lineage: Bacteria; Pseudomonadati; Pseudomonadota; Gammaproteobacteria; Oceanospirillales; Halomonadaceae.